CGCCGCUGCUAUGGGCGCCACUGUUGUUGUGAAGCCCCGACGCCGCCGCUCACUCCGCCAUGUUGCCGCCCCCUGCCUGCGGUAGCGGCCACUGCGCCUGCGCAGAGCCUCCGGGGGGCGGAGCCCUGGCGGCACCCCCUCUUUCGCCCUGCCCUCCUUCUCCUUCCACCCACCCACCCCGACACCCCUUGUCCCUCCCCCAACCACUCUGAACGGAUAGACAGGGGGAGAUUCAUCUUCGUCGUCGCACCCAGCUGCUGCUACUGCCAGUGCCACGUGCCUUGCAAGAUAAAGAAGCACCAGCAGAGCUGGCGAGCAGAAACCUGGCCUCAGGGCAAAAGAGAUGCCACAGAAAUAGUUACACAGGCCUCGGAAGGGAAGCCUCCACUGCGUGUACGGCCCCCGUGGACUGCCACAGGGAACCAAAAAAUCCAGCACAGAGUCACUAAUUUAAGGAUCUAUAAGCCUAAAGAGGGAGCUGCCAUUUAUGGCCGUGUUUAA
RNAcentral lists this long non-coding RNA (501 nucleotides) under Sus scrofa (pig). Its description in RNAcentral is "lncRNA (ENSSSCG00045023720.1, ENSSSCG00055022695.1)". The record is from RNAcentral. Lineage: Eukaryota; Metazoa; Chordata; Mammalia; Artiodactyla; Suidae.